This 3564-nucleotide long non-coding RNA is filed under the name Lathyrus oleraceus (garden pea). RNAcentral describes it as "Pisum sativum (pea) long non-coding RNA (PSAT_LNC040113)". Lineage: Eukaryota; Viridiplantae; Streptophyta; Magnoliopsida; Fabales; Fabaceae. The record is from RNAcentral.
AAUAUAAUCUCAUUUAUAUAAUGAGGUUGUCAUAUGCAUAUUAACAUAUGAAAAUGAGAAAUACUAGGUUUUAAUUCUUGUAAAUAUAAUCUCAUUUAUAUAAUGAGGUUGUAAAUAUGUAUAUUAACAUAUGAAAACGAGAAAUACUAGGUUUUAUUUCUUAUAAAUAUAAUCUCAUUUAUAUAAUGAGGUUGUAAAUAUGUAUAUUUACAUAUGAAAAUGAGAAAUACUAGGUUUUAAUUCUUGUAAAUAUAAUCUCAUUUGUAUAAUGAGGUUUUAAAUAUGUAUAUUUACAUAUGAAAAUGAGAAAUACUAGGUUUUAAUUCUUGUAAAUAUAAUCUCAUUUAUAUAAUGAGGUUGUCAUAUGCAUAUUCACAUAUGAAAAUGAGAAAUAGUAGGUUUUAAUUCUUGUAAAUAUAAUCUCAUUUAUAUAAUGAGGUUGUAAAUAUUUAUAUUUACAUAUGAAAAUGAAAAAUACUAGGUUUUAAUUCUUCUAAAUAUAUUCUUGUAAAUAUAAUCUCAUUUAUAUAAUGAGGUUGUCAUAUGCAUAUUAACAUAUGAAAAUGAGAAAGACUAGGUUUUAAUUCUUGUAAAUAUAAUCUCAUUUAUAUAAUGAGGUUGUCAUAUGCAAAUUAACAUAUCAAAAUGAGAAAUACUAGGUUUUAAUUCUUGUAAAUAUAAUCUCAUUUAUAUAAGGAGGUUGUCAUAUGCAUAUUAACAUAUGAAAAUGAGAAAGACUAGGUUUUAAUUCUUGUAAAUAUAUUCCCAUUUAUAUAAUGAGGUUGUAAAUAUGUAUAUUAACAUAUGAAAAUGAGAAAUACUAGGUUUUAAUUCUUGUAAAUAUAAUCUCAUUUAUAUAAUGAGGUUGUCAUAUGCAUAUUAACAUAUGAAAAUAAGAAAGACUAGGUUUUAAUUCUUGUAAAUAAUCUCAUUUAUAUAAUGAGUUUGUCAUAUGCAUAUUAACAUUUGAAAAUGAGAAAAACUAGUUUUAAUUCUUGUAAAUAUAAUCUCAUUUAUAUAAUGAGGUUGUAAUAUGUAUAUUACAUAUGAAAAUGAGAAUACUAGGUUUUAAUUCUUGUAAUAAUAAUCUUUAUAUAAAUGAGGUUGUAAUAGUAUAUUUACAUAUGAAAAUGAGAAACUAGUUUUAAUUCUUGUAAAUAUAAUUCUUAUAUAAAUGAGGUUUUAAAUAUGUAUAUUUACAUAUAAAAUGAGAAAGACUAGGUUUUAAUUCUUGUAAAUAUAAUCUCAUUAAUAUAAUGAGUUGUCAUAUGCAUAUUAAUAUAAAAUGAGAAUACUAGGUUUUAAUUCUUGUAAAUAUAAUUCAUUAUAUAAUGAGGUUGUAAAUAUAUAUUUACAUAUGAAAAUGAGAAAACUAGGUUUUAAUUCUUGUAAAAUAUAUCUCAUUAUAUAAUGAGGUUGUAAUAUGUAUAUUUACAUAUGAAAAUGAGAAAACUAGGUUUUAAUUCUUGUAAAUAUAAUCUCAUUAUAAUGAGGUUGUAAUAUGAUAUUACAUAUGAAAAUGAGAAAUACUAGGUUUUAAUUCUUUGAAAUAUAAUCUCAUUUAUAUAAUGAGGUUUAAUAUGAUAUUACAUAUGAAAAUGAAGAAUACUAGGUUUUAAUUCUAAAUAUAUUCUCAUUUAUAUAAUGAGGUUGAUAUAUAUUAACAUAUGAAAUGAGAAAGACUAGUUUUAAUUCUUGUAAAUAUAUCUCAUUUAUAUAAUGAGGUUGUAUGUAUUAACAUAUGAAAUGAGAAAACUAGGUUUUAAUUCUUGUAAAUAUAAUCUCAUUUAUAUAAUGAGGUUGUAAUAUGUAUAUUACAUAUGAAAUGAGAAGACUAGGUUUUAAUUCUUGUAAAUAUAAUCUCAUUUAUAUAAUGAGUUGUCAUAUGCAUAUUAACAUUGAAAAGAGAAAACUAGUUUUAAUUCUUGUAAAUAUAAUCUCAUUUAUAUAAUGAGGUUGUUAUGAUUUAUUACAUAUGAAAAUGAGAAAUAUAGGUUUUAAUUCUUGUAAAUAUAAUCUCAUUUAUAUAAUGAGGUUGUAUAUGAUAUUACAAUAUGAAAAUGAGAAAACAGGUUUAAUUCUUGUAAAUAAUCUCUUAUAUAAUGAGGUUGUAAUAUGUAUAUUUACAUAUGAAAAUGAGAAACUAGGUUUUAAUUCUUGUAAAUUAAUCUCAUUUAUAUAAUGAGGUAUAUAUAUUACAUAUGAAAAUGAGAAAGACUAGGUUUUAAUUCUUGUAAAUAUAAUCUCAUUUAUAUAAUGAGGUUGUAAUAUGUAUAUUUACAUAUGAAAAUGAGAAAGACUAGGUUUAUUCUUGUAAAUAUAAUCUCAUUAUAUAAUGAGGUUGUAAUAUGCAUAUUAACAUAUGAAAAUGAGAAAGACUAGGUUUUAUUCUUGUAAUAAAUCUCUUUAUAUAAUGAGGUUGUAAUAUGUAUAUUUACAUAUGAAAAUGAGAAAACUAGGUUUUAAUUCUUGUAAAUAUAAUCUCUUAUAUAUGAGGUUGUAAAUAUGUAUAUUAACAUAUGAAAAUGAGAAAUACUAGGUUUAAUUCUUGUAAAUAUAAUCUCAUUAUAUAUAUGAGGUGUAAUAUGUAUAUUUACAUAUGAAAUGAAAACUAUGUUUAAUUCUUGUAAAUAUAAUCUCUUAUAUAAUGGGUUGUAAUAUGUAUAUUAACAUAUGAAAAUGAGAAAUACUAGGUUUAUUCGGUAAAUAUAAUCUCUUAUAUAAUGAGGUUUUAAAUAUGUAUAUUUACAUAUAAAAAUGAGAAAACUAGGUUUAAUUCUUGUAAAUAUAAUCUCAUUUAUAUAAUGAGGUUGUAUAUGAUAUUAACAUAUGAAAAUGAGAAAUACUAGGUUUAAUUCUUGUAAUAUAAUCUCAUUUUAUAAUGAGGUUUAUAGAGUAUAUUACAUAUGAAAAUGAGAAAGAUAGGUUUUAAUUCUUGUAAAUAUAAUCUAUAUUAUAUAAUGAGGUUGUAAAUAUGUAUUAUACAUAUGAAAAUGAGAAAGACUAGGUUUAUUCUUGUAAUAUAAUCUCAUUUAUAUAAUGAGGUUGUAUGUGCAUAUUAACAUAUGAAAAUGAGAAAUACUAGGUUUUAAUUCUUGUAAAUAUAAUCUCAUUAUAUAAUGAGGUUUAAUAUGUAUAUUUACAUAUAAAAUGAGAAAGUAGGUUUAUAAUUCUGUAACAUUAAUCCAUUUAUAUAAUGAGGUUGUAAAUAUGUAUAUUUACAUAUGAAAAUGAGAAAUACUAGGUUUUAAUUCUUGUAAAUAUAAUCUCAUUUAUAUAAUGAGGUUGUAAAUAUGUAUAUUUACAUAUGAAAAAGUGAAAUACUAGGUUUUAAUUCUUGUAAAUAUAAUCUCAUUUAAAUAAUGAGGUUGUAAAUAUGUAUAUUUACAUAUGAAAGUGAGAAAUACUAGGUUUUAAUUCUUGUAAAUAUAAUCUCAUGUAUAUAAUGAGGUUGUCUUAUGCAUAUUAACAUAUGAAAAUGAGAAAUACUUGGUUUUAAUUCUUGUAAAUAUAAUCUCAUGUAUAUAAUGAGGUUGUAAAUAUGUAUAUUUACAUAUGAAAAUG